Molecule: ribosomal RNA, 497 nt
Filed under: uncultured bacterium
Lineage: Bacteria
Description: partial 16S ribosomal RNA
Rfam family: Bacterial small subunit ribosomal RNA
Source: RNAcentral
GAUGAACGCUGGCGGCGUGCCUAAUACAUGCAAGUCGAGCGAACAGACGAGGAGCUUGCUCCUCUGACGUUAGCGGCGGACGGGUGAGUAACACGUGGAUAACCUACCUAUAAGACUGGGAUAACUUCGGGAAACCGGAGCUAAUACCGGAUAAUAUAUUGAACCGCAUGGUUCAAUAGUGAAAGACGGUUUUGCUGUCACUUAUAGAUGGAUCCGCGCCGCAUUAGCUAGUUGGUAAGGUAACGGCUUACCAAGGCAACGAUGCGUAGCUGACCUGAGAGGGUGAUCGGCCGCACUGGAACUGAGACACGGUCCAGACUCCUACGGGAGGCAGCAGUAGGGAAUCUUCCGCAAAGGGCGAAAGCCUGACGGAGCAACGCCGCGUGAGUGAUGAAGGUCUUCGGAUCGUAAAACUCUGUUAUUAGGGAAGAACAAAUGUGUAAGUAACUAUGCACGUCUUGACGGUACCUAAUCAGAAAGCCACGGCUAACUACGUG